RNAcentral lists this ribosomal RNA (513 nucleotides) under uncultured bacterium. Its description in RNAcentral is "bacterial SSU rRNA". It matches the Rfam family "Bacterial small subunit ribosomal RNA", at positions 37 to 568 of the family's 1533-position model. The record is from RNAcentral.
UAGCGGUGCGCCUAACACAUGCAAGUCGAGCGGUAGAAUUAUUAUUGAAUCUUCGGAUGAUUUAAUAAUUUGAGAGCGGCGAACGGGUGAGUAACACGUUGGUAUCUGCCCCCAAGUCAGGGAUAGCCAUUGGAAACGAUGAUUAAUACCGGAUAGUCUCUUCGGAGUAAAGAUUUAUUGCUUGGGGAGGAACCUGCGUUCUAUCAGCUAGUUGGUGAGGUAAAAGCUCACCAAGGCUAUGACGGAUACCUGGUCUGAGAGGAUGAUCAGGCACAAUGGAACUGAGACACGGUCCAUACUCCUACGGGAGGCAGCAGUGAGGAAUCUUCCACAAUGGGCGAAAGCCUGAUGGAGCGACUCCGCGUGAAGGAUGAAGGCCUAACGGUUGUAAACUUCUUUUCUGAAGGAGCAUAAUGAGAGUACUUCAGGAAUAAGGGACGGCUAAAUACGUGCCAGCAGCCGCGGUAAUACGUAUGUCUCGAGCGUCUACCGGAAUCACUGCGUGUAAAGGGU